RNAcentral lists this ribosomal RNA (625 nucleotides) under Butyricicoccus sp. AF10-3. RNAcentral's name for it is "bacterial LSU rRNA". It matches the Rfam family "Bacterial large subunit ribosomal RNA", at positions 730 to 1361 of the family's 2925-position model. The record is from RNAcentral. Lineage: Bacteria; Bacillati; Bacillota; Clostridia; Eubacteriales; Butyricicoccaceae.
CUAUCCAUGAGCAGGCUGAAGCGGUGGUAAGACACCGUGGAGGGCCGCACCCACGUCUGUUGAAAAAGCCGGGGAUGACUUGUGGAUAGCGGAGAAAUUCCAAUCGAACUCGGAGAUAGCUGGUUCUCCCCGAAAUAGCUUUAGGGCUAGCGUUAUUUUAGAUUACCGGAGGUAAAGCACUGAAUGGUCUAGGGGCCGCGAGGUUACCAAAGCCUAUCAAACUCUGAAUGCCGGAUAAUUGAUGAAUAGCAGUCAGACUGUGUGAGAUAAGUCUCAUAGUCAAAAGGGAAACAGCCCAGAUCUACAGCUAAGGUCCCAAAUGAACACUAAGUGGAAAAUGAUGUGAAACUGCGAAGACAACCAGGAUGUUGGCUUAGAAGCAGCCACUCAUUCAAAGAGUGCGUAAUAGCUCACUGGUCGAGUGGUUUUGCGCAGAAAAUGUAACGGGGCUAAGUGUUCAACCGAAGCUUAGGCAUUGCAGUAAUGCAUUGGGUAGGGGAGCGUCGUAUGCGGGGCGAAGUCAGAGCGGAAGCACUGGUGGACUGCAUACGAGUGAGAAUGCCGGAAUAAGUAGCGAGAAUUAUGUGAGAAUCAUAAUGGCCGAAAAUCUAAGGUUUCUUGGGGA